Molecule: non-coding RNA, 237 nt
Filed under: Subdoligranulum sp.
Lineage: Bacteria; Bacillati; Bacillota; Clostridia; Eubacteriales; Oscillospiraceae
Description: T-box sequence
Rfam family: T-box leader
About the family: Uncharged tRNA acts as the effector for transcription antitermination of genes in the T-box leader family. T-boxes are found upstream of many aminoacyl-tRNA synthetase genes and some amino acid biosynthetic genes usually in Gram-positive bacteria. The anticodon of a specific tRNA base pairs to a specifier sequence within the T-box motif, and the NCCA acceptor tail of the tRNA base pairs to a conserved bulge in the T-box antiterminator hairpin.
Source: RNAcentral
GACAAUGCAUGGAUGGGAAGUUAGUAACGGUCCCGCACCCUGCAGAGAGCUGCCGGUCGGUGCAAGGCAGCAGGGCAGCAGACCGCGAACUGAUCCCGGAGCAGACCGCCCGAAAUCACAGUAGGGCGGUACGGGCGCACCCGUUACAGUGCCGGGCCUUGUUGGAGGCCCAUGAGGUGGGGGCACUGCCCCAAUAAGAGUGGUACCGCAGAGCUAUACACAGGCUUUGUCUCUUGG